This 245-nucleotide ribosomal RNA is filed under the name uncultured bacterium. RNAcentral's name for it is "partial small subunit ribosomal RNA". It matches the Rfam family "Bacterial small subunit ribosomal RNA", at positions 26 to 285 of the family's 1533-position model. The record is from RNAcentral.
AGAACGAACGUUAGCGGCGCGCCUAACACAUGCAAGUCGCACGAGAAAGGGACUUCGGUCCUGAGUACAGUGGCGCACGGGUGAGUAACACGUGAAUAAUCUACCUCCGAGUGGGGAAUAACUGAGAGAAAUCUUAGCUAAUACCGCAUAACACUUACGAGUCAAAGCAGCAAUGCGCUUGGAGAGGAGUUCGCGGCAGAUUAGUUAGUUGGCGGGGUAAUGGCCCACCAAGACGAUGAUCUGUA